GCCCGAAUAAUUUAAACAAAAUAUCGGUCUUGUAAGCCGAAGAUGAAGACUAGCGUGUUCUUCGGGCA
Molecule: transfer RNA, 68 nt
Filed under: Tylototriton pseudoverrucosus (southern Sichuan crocodile newt)
Lineage: Eukaryota; Metazoa; Chordata; Amphibia; Caudata; Salamandridae
Description: tRNA-Thr
Rfam family: tRNA
About the family: Transfer RNA (tRNA) molecules are approximately 80 nucleotides in length.
Source: RNAcentral